GGGCUCAUGGUCUAGUGACCUGCAAAGCUUGCUUUGCGGCUAGAAGCUAUGACGUCGCCUUGACGUGGCGGAGGUCCCCGGUUCAAUUCCGGGUGGGCCCA
RNAcentral lists this transfer RNA (101 nucleotides) under Candidatus Woesearchaeota archaeon. RNAcentral's name for it is "tRNA-Val". Lineage: Archaea; Nanobdellati; Candidatus Woesearchaeota. The record is from RNAcentral.